GGUCAGCAUACUGCCGUGAAUACGUUCCCGGGCCUUGUACACACCGCCCGUCACACCAUGAGAGUUGGGGAUACCCAAAGCCCGUGAGCCAACUUUUAGAGGCAGCGGUCUAAGGUAGAAUCAAUGAUUGGGGUGAAGUCGUAACAAGGUAAC
This 153-nucleotide ribosomal RNA is filed under the name uncultured bacterium. RNAcentral describes it as "partial 16S ribosomal RNA". It matches the Rfam family "Bacterial small subunit ribosomal RNA", at positions 1347 to 1500 of the family's 1533-position model. The record is from RNAcentral.